RNAcentral lists this ribosomal RNA (283 nucleotides) under uncultured bacterium. RNAcentral's name for it is "partial 16S ribosomal RNA". It matches the Rfam family "Bacterial small subunit ribosomal RNA", at positions 773 to 1060 of the family's 1533-position model. The record is from RNAcentral.
GUGGAUUAGAUACCCGAGUAGUCCACGCCCUAAACGAUGAAUACUCGAUGUUAGCGAUAUACAGUUAGCGUCUAAGCGAAAGCGUUAAGUAUUCCACCUGGGGAGUACGCCCGCAAGGGUGAAACUCAAAGGAAUUGACGGGGGCCCGCACAAGCGGAGGAGCAUGUGGUUUAAUUCGAUGAUACGCGAGGAACCUUACCCGGGCUUGAAAGUUACUGAAGUUCUCAGAGAUGAGAGCGUCCUUCGGGACAGGAAACUAGGUGCUGCACGGUUGUCGUCAACU